UUACUUUUGUUUCAGGAUGUACUGGAUCAUCUCUGCUGCUCAGAAGAAACAAACUGCUUGUCUAUGCAGUGCGGGUGUAUUACAAAUGUUUGCGAAAAAGUGGUGUCUGUAGAUAUUUAGGAAACUGUGCUGGAUUAUCUUAACUCGGAAGACUUAAAUACAGGGUUGAAGUUCUCGUUGCAGAUUUUGACAUGAAAUGGAGGAUGAUGUACUGGAUCAUCAAUUCUGCUCAGAAGAAACAAACUGCUUGUCUAUGCAGUGCGGGUGUAUUACAAAUGUUUGUAGAAAAGUGGUGUCUGUAGAUAUUUAGGUGAGCAUACCAUGAAAAGCCUUCCCAUUUCCCUUUAGUGUUUGUCUUUUUUUACUAGGAUGCCUCUAAUGGGCAAGUAGACGUAAUCUUGAGAAAUAAUUAUCUAUUUUAAGGGAACAGAUUCUAAGAUAUAACAUAUAAUGAACCUUGGGAGAAGAAAAUAUUGAUAAUGUACGUGAAUAUGAUUUCCUAAAGUUAAUAGGAUU
Molecule: long non-coding RNA, 516 nt
Organism: Macrobrachium nipponense
Lineage: Eukaryota; Metazoa; Arthropoda; Malacostraca; Decapoda; Palaemonidae
Exons: 3
Source: RefSeq, a predicted model, not a curated record